CUACGGGGUGCAGCAGUGGGGAAUAUUGCACAAUGGAGGAAACUCUGAUGCAGCAACGCCGCGUGGAGGAUGACACUUUUCGGAGCGUAAACUCCUUUUAUAUAGGAAGAAGAUGACGGUACUAUAUGAAUAAGCGCCGGCUAACUCCGUGCCAGCAGCCGCGGUAAUACGGAGGGCGCAAGCGUUACUCGGAAUCACUGGGCGUAAAGAGGCGUGUAGGCGGAUUAAAAAGUCAGAAGUGAAAUCCUAUAGCUUAACUAUAGAACUGCUUCUGAAACUCUUAAUCUAGAAUAUGGGAGAGGUAGAUGGAAUUUCUGGUGUAGGGGUAAAAUCCGUAGAGAUCAGAAGGAAUACCGAUUGCGAAGGCGAUCUACUAGAACAUUAUUGACGCUGAGACGCGAAAGCGUGGGGAGCAAACAGGAUUAGAUACCCGGGUAGUC
This 440-nucleotide ribosomal RNA is filed under the name uncultured bacterium. RNAcentral describes it as "partial 16S ribosomal RNA". It matches the Rfam family "Bacterial small subunit ribosomal RNA", at positions 339 to 795 of the family's 1533-position model. The record is from RNAcentral.